CCUACGGGGCGCAGCAGUGAGGAAUAUUGGUCAAUGGACGGAAGUCUGAACCAGCCAUGCCGCGUGCAGGAAGACGGCUCUAUGAGUUGUAAACUGCUUUUGUCGGGGAACAAAGGCGCCCACGGGUGGGCGGAUGAGUGUACCCGAAGAAAAAGCAUCGGCUAACUCCGUGCCAGCAGCCGCGGUAAUACGGAGGAUGCGAGCGUUAUCCGGAUUUAUUGGGUUUAAAGGGUGCGUAGGCGGACAGUCAAGUCAGCGGUAAAAAUGCGGUGCUCAACGCCGUACAGCCGUUGAAACUGGCAGUCUUGAGUGGGCGAGAAGUAUGCGGAAUGCGUGGUGUAGCGGUGAAAUGCAUAGAUAUCACGCAGAACUCCGAUUGCGAAGGCAGCAUACCGGCGCCCGACUGACGCUGAGGCACGAAAGCGUGGGUAUCGAACAGGAUUAGAUACCCGAGUAGUC
This 459-nucleotide ribosomal RNA is filed under the name uncultured bacterium. RNAcentral describes it as "partial 16S ribosomal RNA". It matches the Rfam family "Bacterial small subunit ribosomal RNA", at positions 338 to 795 of the family's 1533-position model. The record is from RNAcentral.